CACACCAUGGGGACCUCAGGAAGCUCCCCCAGCCAGAUCCAUGACAGGAGCACCGACGACGCACAUGUCGACCUCGACGAGUGCCCCAUCUGCUUCCUGGUAACCAUCCUUUUCCCCAUCUUCCCCAUCUACAGUUCUACCUAACCACUCCUCGCCGCGCUGCUGCGUGCCGGCGCUGGGGCGUCCGUGCCCUCCUCCAGGUUUUGUCUCCGGCGAUGUAGGUACCCAACUCCGCCAAAUCAGUCGCCUCCGCCUUUCCUCCCGCCGGCAGCAACAGCCCUGAGGAGG
This 288-nucleotide long non-coding RNA is filed under the name Sorghum bicolor (sorghum). Its description in RNAcentral is "long non-coding RNA (SBIC_LNC002029)". The record is from RNAcentral. Lineage: Eukaryota; Viridiplantae; Streptophyta; Magnoliopsida; Poales; Poaceae.